UCCGAGGUUCUCCCGCGCCCAGCCGCCGGGUUACGCCUUCUCCAAAUCGCAGGGACGCGGAGCAGAGCGAGAGGAGCCGUGCGCAGCAGGAGAAAGGCCAGCGCCCCAGGACUCCUUAGGAAUCGGACCAUAUUAGGACAUCUCACGUAGCCGGAGCUGGGAACCCGGAGGUUAAUGCGGUCAGGCCACCGAUGAGGUGGGCCACGCGCUCCUAUCGUCCAGAGGCAGUGAUGUCAGGCGAUAUCAUCAAGAACACCGACCGCCUGCUUUCCCUGGGGAAUUGGAGGAAAUGAGAUUGUUACUGGAAAUGUGCGGGCCUUCUUUGAAGGCCUGAUGCAGGAGGUCCAGGCCACGUCUCCCUACGCCAUGCUGGGGCAUGAUGGCACAGAUCUGUUCAUUUGCAUCAAUCUUUGUCCAUAAAUAAAGACUCUAAAUAA
Hipposideros armiger (great roundleaf bat) is the source of this 437-nucleotide long non-coding RNA. RefSeq lists it as uncharacterized. NCBI's taxonomy places the organism in Eukaryota, Metazoa, Chordata, Mammalia, Chiroptera, Hipposideridae. The transcript is spliced from 2 exons. The record is from RefSeq and is a predicted model, not a curated record.